GAUGAACGCUGGCGGCGUGCCUAAUACAUGCAAGUCGAGCGAACAGACGAGGAGCUUGCUCCUCUGACGUUAGCGGCGGACGGGUGAGUAACACGUGGAUAACCUACCUAUAAGACUGGGAUAACUUCGGGAAACCGGAGCUAAUACCGGAUAAUAUAUUGCACCACAUGGUUCAAUAGUGAAAGACGGUUUUGCUGUCACUUCUAGAUGGAUCCGCGCCGCAUUAGCUAGUUGGUAAGGUAACGGCUUACCAAGGCAACGAUGCGUAGCCGACCUGAGAGGGUGAUCGGCCACACUGGAACUGAGACACGGUCCAGACUCCUACGGGAGGCAGCAGUAGGGAAUCGUCCGCAAUGGGCGAAAGCUUGACGGAGCAACGCCGCGUGAGUGAUGAAGGUCUUCGGAUCGUAAAACUCUGUUAUUAGGGAAGAACAAAUGUGUAAGUAACUAUGCACGUCUUGACGGUACCUAAUCAGAAAGCCACGGCUAACUACGUG
Molecule: ribosomal RNA, 497 nt
Filed under: uncultured bacterium
Lineage: Bacteria
Description: partial 16S ribosomal RNA
Rfam family: Bacterial small subunit ribosomal RNA
Source: RNAcentral